Molecule: long non-coding RNA, 791 nt
Filed under: Homo sapiens (human)
Lineage: Eukaryota; Metazoa; Chordata; Mammalia; Primates; Hominidae
Description: non-protein coding lnc-FAM126B-1:1
Source: RNAcentral
UGUCGCCCAGGCUAGAAGGCAGUGGCGCCAUCACAGCUCACUGCAGCCUGGAUUUCCCGCUCUCAAACCAUCCAGCCCUCAGCCUCCCAAGUAGCGGGGACCACAGGUGCAAGCCACCAUGCCCGACUAAUUUUUUUUUUUUUUUGUAUUUUUAGUAGAGAUGGGGUUUCACCAUGUUGGCAAGGCUGGUCUCCAACUGCUGGCCUCAAGUGAUCCUUGCCCGCCUCGGCCUCCCAAAGUGCUGGGAUCACAGGCGUGAGCCACCGCGCCCCUCUACGUUUUUAUUUAUUCCUAAUAACUACUUUAUUGUGAUUCUUAAAGAGCUUUAACUUUUCUUGAGAUAAUUUUAAACUCACAGGAAAGGUGAAGAAUAAUACCAAGAGAGACUAACAGCAGGACGGCAUGAAGAGCUCGGGAUUCACCCCUAGUGAAACUGAAAAUUAUUUAAAACAACAAACAACCAUUAACCAUUUAAAGCCUUUGAAAUGGUCCUAAGGGCAAACAGCAAAUGAAGAAACAUCUGUUCCAAAAAAUCUAUGAAAACUCUUGGAUCAGAAUCUCCCAGUCAGAGACCAGCAUAUCAGCAUUUCUCAUCUUGCCCCUAGCUACCUGAUGCUGAAGGUAAAUCCUGGGGGAGUGUGGUGGAGAGGUGGGAGAUUCCUUCUUCCAUCCAGAGGCUCUACCUUGGGUGGAGUGCUGAGACACCAGAGGAGACUUCAGCUCUUUUUCUCCAUCACUUUCACCCCAUAUUCACCCCCAACCUUUUUUUUUAAUCUCUCCAUCUUCCCAAG